AACGAACGCUGGCGGCAUGCCUAAUACAUGCAAGUCGAACGAGACCUUCGGGUCUAGUGGCGCACGGGUGCGUAACGCGUGGGAACCUGCCCUUAGGUUCGGAAUAACUCCCGGAAAGGGGUGCUAAUACCGGAUAAUGACGUCGGACCAAAGAUUUAUCGCCCUUGGAUGGGCCCGCGUUGGAUUAGCUAGUUGGUAGGGUAAAGGCCUACCAAGGCGACGAUCCAUAGCUGGUCUGAGAGGAUGAUCAGCCACACUGGGACUGAGACACGGCCCAGACUCCUACGGGAGGCAGCAGUGGGGAAUAUUGGACAAUGGGCGAAAGCCUGAUCCAGCAAUGCCGCGUGAGUGAUGAAGGCCUUAGGGUUGUAAAGCUCUUUUACCCGGGAUGAUAAUGACAGUACCGGGAGAAUAAGCUCCGGCUAACUCCGUG
This 433-nucleotide ribosomal RNA is filed under the name uncultured bacterium. RNAcentral's name for it is "partial 16S ribosomal RNA". It matches the Rfam family "Bacterial small subunit ribosomal RNA", at positions 29 to 507 of the family's 1533-position model. The record is from RNAcentral.